GAGUUUGAUCCUGGCUCAGGACGAACGCUGGCGGCGUGCCUAAUACAUGCAAGUCGAACGCACUCUCGUUUAGAUUGAAGGAGCUUGCUCCUGAUUGAUAAACAUUUGAGUGAGUGGCGGACGGGUGAGUAACACGUGGGUAACCUGCCCUAAAGUGGGGGAUAACAUUUGGAAACAGGUGCUAAUACCGCAUAAAACCUAACACCGCAUGGUGUAGGGUUGAAAGAUGGUUUCGGCUAUCACUUUAGGAUGGACCCGCGGUGCAUUAGUUAGUUGGUGAGGUAAAGGCUCACCAAGACCGUGAUGCAUAGCCGACCUGAGAGGGUAAUCGGCCACACUGGGACUGAGACACGGCCCAGACUCCUACGGGAGGCAGCAGUAGGGAAUCUUCCACAAUGGACGAAAGUCUGAUGGAGCAACGCCGCGUGAGUGAAGAAGGUUUUCGGAUCGUAAAACUCUGUUGUUGGAGAAGAAUGUAUCUGAUAGUAACUGAUCAGGUAGUGACGGUAUCCAACCAGAAAGCCACGGCUAACUACGUGCCAGCAGCCGCGGUAAUACGUAGGUGGCAAGCGUUGUCCGGAUUUAUUGGGCGUAAAGCGAGCGCAGGCGGUUUCUUAAGUCUGAUGUGAAAGCCUUCGGCUCAACCGAAGAAGUGCAUCGGAAACUGGGAAACUUGAGUGCAGAAGAGGACAGUGGAACUCCAUGUGUAGCGGUGAAAUGCGUAGAUAUAUGGAAGAACACCAGUGGCGAAGGCGGCUGUCUGGUCUGUAACUGACGCUGAGGCUCGAAAGCAUGGGUAGCAAACAGAAGUAGAUACCCUGGUAGUCCAUGCCGUAAACG
This 840-nucleotide ribosomal RNA is filed under the name uncultured bacterium. Its description in RNAcentral is "bacterial SSU rRNA". It matches the Rfam family "Bacterial small subunit ribosomal RNA", at positions 9 to 808 of the family's 1533-position model. The record is from RNAcentral.